RNAcentral lists this ribosomal RNA (289 nucleotides) under uncultured bacterium. Its description in RNAcentral is "partial 16S ribosomal RNA". It matches the Rfam family "Bacterial small subunit ribosomal RNA", at positions 337 to 618 of the family's 1533-position model. The record is from RNAcentral.
GCCUACGGGGCGCAGCAGUAGGGAAUCUUCCACAAUGGACGAAAGUCUGAUGGAGCAACGCCGCGUGAGUGAAGAAGGGUUUCAGCUCGUAAAGCUCUGUUGGUAGUGAAGAAAGAUAGAGGUAGUAACUGGCCUUUAUUUGACGGUAAUUACUUAGAAAGUCACGGCUAACUACGUGCCAGCAGCCGCGGUAAUACGUAGGUGGCAAGUGUUGUCCGAAUUUAUUGGGCGUAAAGCGAGUGCAGGCGGUUCAAUAAGUCUGAUGUGAAAGCCUUCGGCUUAAACGGAG